This 460-nucleotide ribosomal RNA is filed under the name uncultured bacterium. RNAcentral's name for it is "bacterial SSU rRNA". It matches the Rfam family "Bacterial small subunit ribosomal RNA", at positions 29 to 524 of the family's 1533-position model. The record is from RNAcentral.
AACGAACGCUGGCGGCAUGCCUAACACAUGCAAGUCGAACGGGAUCCUAGCUUGCUAGGUGAGAGUGGCGGACGGGUGAGUAACACGUGGGAAUCUGCCUUUUGGUUCGGGAUAACCGCGGGAAACUGCGGCUAAUACCGAAUGCCCUCGAGAGAGGAAAGAUUUAUCGCCAGAAGAGGAGCCCGCGUCCGAUUAGGUAGUUGGUGGGGUAAAGGCCUACCAAGCCGACGAUCGGUAGCUGGUCUGAGAGGAUGAUCAGCCACACUGGGACUGAGAUACGGCCCAGACUCCUACGGGAGGCAGCAGUGGGGAAUAUUGGACAAUGGGGGCGAACCCUGAUCCAGCAAUGCCGCGUGAGUGAUGAAGGCCUUAGGGUUGUAAAGCUCUUUUACCCGGGAUGAUAAUGACAGUACCGGGAGAAUAAGCUCCGGCUAACUCCGUAGCCAGCAGCCGCGGUAAU